GAUAUAUUUCUCAAUUAGCCCCUAUAAGACUCUAUGAUGUAGAUACAAUUCUUGGCUUCAUUCUGCACAUGAAUGGGCUGAGGCUAAUCGAAUUAGGGUAGAGCUGAAUGUUCCAAAGCCACGCCCCUAAUUACAAUGGGAUUCUAGAUUCUGACUGGCUCUGGGUGCCCUGCAGAGCUCAGAAUAGACAUUUGGUGCCACGAGUCUCUUCCUGUCCUAUAAGAAGUAGAGGAGAGAAGAAAAGGAAGUCAGUGUAUGGAGCUAGUGACACGGAUGAACUGUUUCUUGUAGUGUCUGGACUUACAGGAAACGGAGGGAAUCCAGAUUGCAUGCUGUUCAAUAGUGACUUUCUGUUGUACAGGAGAGGAGGGCGGUAGAAGGUAACCAGAUUCAGUGCUGAGGUGUGGGCCCUCUGUCUCAUCCCUGCCAACUUCCUCUUCUUGAACCUUGAAUUUCUACCAACAUUUUUAGCUUCUACUCUGUACCAGGUAGGAGGCUGUGGGCUGGCCCGGCAGUGAACCCAGAGCUGUGGCUGCUCUCAUACUCUUGGGCCUUUUGGUCUGGGGAUAUCUUUAGUUUCCAAAUCCUUCAAAUCCCAAGCCGUUUUCUUUCCUCAAAUGAGAGAAAAGGAAUAGGCAGCAGGCUGGUUUAUUGGAUGUUUUCCUUCAUUUCUGACUCUGACAGCCAUCCUUCACAUCUGAUAGGAAGUCUUCACAAUGGUGAUGAAUUUAUUCAUUUUGACUGUUUGUGAAGCUCUCUAAUUAAUUCUUUAUAGAUUUCCAUCAGCGACUAAAUUUGUGUUUUGAGUUAAAAUUGGGCAUUCAGAGGAACUGCCUUGGGAUACUCUGCUCUCUCGGAGCCCCUCCUCCACACUGGCAGCUGCUGACCUACUGUUCACUAAGCAACUGAGCAGCAGUUUGCCUCAUAGUGACGCACCAGCAGGUGGUUACCAUGGAAUGAGACAGCAGCAAAGCACUGUCCCUGUCGUCAUGGAGCCCCUGAGCCAUCUCCUAAGCAACCUGGCAGGAGAUCCCCAAACAAAUCUAUGCACUCUGCUCCACUGAGGUUAGUUUUAAAUUUAUUUUUGUGGGUUGCUUGACAUCAACAGCUUUGUGUAGCUAAACAAAUUUAGGGAAGGAGCUACAGAGUAGCUCUGUCCAGAGAGACACGAGAAAAAAAAAAAAAAAAAAGAAAGGAAAGAAAGGAAAGAAAGGAAAGCAGAGGGAGGAUGAAGGGGAGGGCAGCGGAUGACACAGCAUAUAAGAAAUGAGUCUAAGAAACAUACAGAGAGAUGGAAAGAAUGUGUGGAAAGGGGGAGAACAGAUACACACACACAUACACACAUGGAAAAAAACAGAGGCAAAGAAACACAGAGAA
Molecule: long non-coding RNA, 1377 nt
Filed under: Mus spicilegus (steppe mouse)
Lineage: Eukaryota; Metazoa; Chordata; Mammalia; Rodentia; Muridae
Description: lncRNA (ENSMSIG00000002265.1)
Source: RNAcentral